CCUACGGGUGGCAGCAGUAAGGGAUAUUGGUCAAUGGGGGAAACCCUGAACCAGCAACGCCGCGUGAGGGAAGACGGUUUUCGGAUUGUAAACCUCUGUCCUCUGUGAAGAUGAUGACGGUAGCAGAGGAGGAAGCUCCGGCUAACUACGUGCCAGAAGCCGCGGUAAGACGUAGGGAGCGAGCGUUGUCCGGAUUUACGGGGUGUAAGGGGUUUGUAGGGGGCUUGGAAGGUCACUAGUGAAAGCCAUGGGCUUAACCCAUGAACUGCUAUUGAAACUGUCGAGCUUGAGUGAAGUAGAGGUAGGCGGAAUUCCCGGUGUAGCGGUGAAAUGCGUAGAGAUCGGGCGGAACACCAGUGGCGAAGGCGGCCUACUGAGCUUUAACUGACGCUGAGGCACGAAAGCGUGGGUAGCAAACAGGAUUAGAUACCCUUGUAGUC
Molecule: ribosomal RNA, 440 nt
Filed under: uncultured bacterium
Lineage: Bacteria
Description: partial 16S ribosomal RNA
Rfam family: Bacterial small subunit ribosomal RNA
Source: RNAcentral